RNAcentral lists this microRNA precursor (57 nucleotides) under Limulus polyphemus (Atlantic horseshoe crab). RNAcentral describes it as "Lpo-Mir-216-P2i_pre stem-loop". The record is from RNAcentral. Lineage: Eukaryota; Metazoa; Arthropoda; Merostomata; Xiphosura; Limulidae.
UAAUCUCAUGAGGUAACUCUGGAUAGGCCUUAUUCCGGAGUACCUGCUGAGAUGUGA